ACAAAUGCCCUGCUUCCAGGAAAAGCCUCUAAGCAUCAGGUAACAUCAAAUCGUACCCCAAACCGACACAGGUGGUCAGGUAGAGAAUACCAAGGCGCUUGAGAGAACUCGGGUGAAGGAACUAGGCAAAAUGGUGCCGUAACUUCGGGAGAAGGCACGCUGAUAUGUAGGUGAAGCGACUUGCUCGUGGAGCUGAAAUCAGUCGAAGAUACCAGCUGGCUGCAACUGUUUAUUAAAAACACAGCACUGUGCAAACACGAAAGUGGACGUAUACGGUGUGACGCCUGCCCGGUGCCGGAAGGUUAAUUGAUGGGGUUAGCGGUAACGCGAAGCUCUUGAUCGAAGCCCCGGUAAACGGCGGCCGUAACUAUAACGGUCCUAAGGUAGCGAAAUUCCUUGUCGGGUAAGUUCCGACCUGCACGAAUGGCGUAAUGAUGGCCAGGCUGUCUCCACCCGAGACUCAGUGAAAUUGAACUCGCUGUGAAGAUGCAGUGUACCCGCGGCAAGACGGAAAGACCCCGUGAACCUUUACUAUAGCUUGACACUGAACAUUGAGCCUUGAUGUGUAGGAUAGGUGGGAGGCUUUGAAGUGUGGACGCCAGUCUGCAUGGAGCCGACCUUGAAAUACCACCCUUUAAUGUUUGAUGUUCUAACGUGGGCCCCUAAUCGGGGUUGCGGACAGUGUCUGGUGGGUAGUUUGACUGGGGCGGUCUCCUCCUAAAGAGUAACGGAGGAGCACGAAGGUUGGCUAAUCCUGGUCGGACAUCAGGAGGUUAGUGCAAUGGCAUAAGCCAGCUUGACUGCGAGCGUGACGGCGCGAGCAGGUGCGAAAGCAGGUCAUAGUGAUCCGGUGGUUCUGAAUGGAAGGGCCAUCGCUCAACGGAUAAAAGGUACUCCGGGGAUAACAGGCUGAUACCGCCCAAGAGUUCAUAUCGACGGCGGUGUUUGGCACCUCGAUGUCGGCUCAUCACAUCCUGGGGCUGAAGUAGGUCCCAAGGGUAUGGCUGUUCGCCAUUUAAAGUGGUACGCGAGCUGGGUUUAGAACGUCGUGAGACAGUUCGGUCCCUAUCUGCCGUGGGCGCUGGAGAACUGAGGGGGGCUGCUCCUAGUACGAGAGGACCGGAGUGGACGCAUCACUGGUGUUCGGGUUGUCAUGCCAAUGGCACUGCCCGGUAGCUAAAUGCGGAAGAGAUAAGUGCUGAAAGCAUCUAAGCACGAAACUUGCCCCGAGAUGAGUUCUCCCUGAGACUUAGAGUCUCCUGAAGGAACGUUGAAGACGACGACGUUGAUAGGCCGGGUGUGUAAGCGCAGCGAUGCGUUGAGCUAACCGGUACUAAUGAACCGUGAGGCUUAACCUUACAACGCCGAAG
RNAcentral lists this ribosomal RNA (1370 nucleotides) under Escherichia coli. RNAcentral's name for it is "partial 23S ribosomal RNA". It matches the Rfam family "Bacterial large subunit ribosomal RNA", at positions 1593 to 2925 of the family's 2925-position model. The record is from RNAcentral. Lineage: Bacteria; Pseudomonadati; Pseudomonadota; Gammaproteobacteria; Enterobacterales; Enterobacteriaceae.